This 492-nucleotide ribosomal RNA is filed under the name uncultured bacterium. Its description in RNAcentral is "partial 16S ribosomal RNA". It matches the Rfam family "Bacterial small subunit ribosomal RNA", at positions 29 to 507 of the family's 1533-position model. The record is from RNAcentral.
AGUGUACGCUGGCGGUAGGCCUAACACAUGCAAGUCGAACGGCAGCACAGUAAGAGCUUGCUCUUACGGGUGGCGAGUGGCGGACGGGUGAGGAAUACAUCGGAAUCUACUUUUUCGUGGGGGAUAACGUAGGGAAACUUACUCUAAUACCGCAUACGACCUACGGGUGAAAGCAGGGGAUCUUCGGACCUUGCGCGAUUGAAUUAGCCGAUGUCGGAUUAGCUAGUUGGCGGGGUAAAGGCCCACCAAGGCGACGAUCCGUAGCUGGUCUGAGAGGAUGAUCAGCCACACUGGAACUGAGACACGGUCCAGAGUCCUAAGGGAGGGAGCAGUGGGGAAUAUUGGACAGUGGGCGCAAGCAUGAUCCAGCCGUACCGCGUGGGUGAAGAAGGCCUUCGGGUUGUAAAGCCCUUUUGUUGGGAAAGAAAAGCAGCAGGUUAAUACCCCGCUGUUCUGACGGUACCCAAAGAAUAAGCACCGGCUAACUUCGUG